GAGAGAGGUGUCGCAGAUUAGAUCGAAACUGAAUCCCUCUAGAGGUCACACUUCAGCAGAGCUGCUGUUAUUAGUAUUUGGUGUGUAUUAUAGAGGGCAAAGAUCAUGACUGGCAUUAUAUUAUUAAUUCUGUUUUUACCUGCUGGCUUCAGCCUAAGACAAUCUCCUGAUCUUUCUGCUUACGAGGGUCAGAAUGUGACUCUUCAGUGUACUCAGAUUGGUUCUUCCUAUAAUGGAAUGUACUGGUUCAGGCAGAGACCUUCUGAAUCCCUGGAGCCCAUUGUAUUCUACUAUGUUAACAUGGGCACACUAGAAGAUCGAUUUCAACAGAAAGUUUCUGCCAUAAGGAAGGACAACUCUCUGGAUCUAACUGUGAAGGAGCUGCAGAGCACAGACAGUGGCAUCUACUUCUGUGCAAAACAGGAUGCACAGCAUGACAACCUAAUCUUCAACCUGAACAAGAACUACACCACCCCCACAACAAACACAUACUCAGCACCUGUUAACUGUAGUGCACAAAUCAAGUACUCAUGACCAAAAUACACAAGAGACAGAUAUAUCAAGUGGUUGUGAAGUCAUUUCCUGUCAUCUGGAAUUUAUAUUAUCAAGUGUUGGUUUGCUUUCUAUCAAUGACAGGAAACAAAUAAGCAUGAUGAUUCUGCUCUUUUUAUCUCAAAUCAUGC
Non-coding RNA from Ictalurus punctatus (channel catfish), 683 nucleotides. NCBI's taxonomy places the organism in Eukaryota, Metazoa, Chordata, Actinopteri, Siluriformes, Ictaluridae. The record is from the annotation of a RefSeq genome assembly.